Long non-coding RNA from Oreochromis aureus, 456 nucleotides. Lineage: Eukaryota; Metazoa; Chordata; Actinopteri; Cichliformes; Cichlidae. The record is from Ensembl.
UGAGGGACCUUAGGAGAAACACAGUCUUGUGGUGAGACCAGUGUGUGUGUGUGUCUAAGUGUAAAGAGAGCGAGGGAAACGCGCGAGAGAAAGAAAAGCUACCCUUGGAAACAGAGUGACUCGCGUCUCUACCCUGAGUACCGUGGGCUGCAACUUUUCCUUUCAGUCGAGAAAAAGAAAUCCAGAAAGCAUCCUAAGGGAUUGUAGAAGUGUGAUCAGCCCUACCUACCAACCUCCCUACCAACAAAAGUUGCCUUACAAGUGCUGGCGAAGAAGCUGAGGGUACAAAUGGACUGAAGGAAGAGGAAGUACUACUGCGACUCUCACACACAGCUCUCCCACAUCUACAAAGGAUUGCUAUGUAAAUGCACCAGUGAAUAGGAGUGAAUGGACAGACUUAAAGCAGAUUAUGUUAAACCUCUUGUUAGUUUAAAGACAUGCUGAAGUGAAUGGGUG